This is a long non-coding RNA of Hippoglossus stenolepis (Pacific halibut), 149 nucleotides long. RefSeq lists it as uncharacterized. The record is from RefSeq and is a predicted model, not a curated record. The transcript is spliced from 3 exons. NCBI's taxonomy places the organism in Eukaryota, Metazoa, Chordata, Actinopteri, Pleuronectiformes, Pleuronectidae.
CCCUGCAGUCUUCGCUACGCAACAUCAGAAACAUACCAACUCUUCUGCGCAGGAUGUCCCUCUCUCACACCAAAGUGACUGACUGGCAAGGUCUCUACAAGACGGUGUACAGUACAGUGUGUAUCAGGGACACUGUGCGGCUCUCAGAG